RNAcentral lists this unclassified non-coding RNA (329 nucleotides) under uncultured fungus. Its description in RNAcentral is "sequence contains ITS1". The stretch from base 1 to 104 matches the Rfam family "5.8S ribosomal RNA", at positions 50 to 154 of the family's 154-position model. Lineage: Eukaryota; Fungi. The record is from RNAcentral.
GAAUCGCGAUAGGAAUUGCGAAUUGCAGAAUUCAGUGAAUCAUCGUAACUUUGAACGCAAACUGCGCUUGAGGGUUGACCUCGAGCAUGCCUCUUUGAGUGUCGGUCAAACCAUCCUGCUGGUUUUCCACAGGGAAUUGCGAGUCCUGACGGUCUCUGUAAGUACGUGUAGCUCCCGAAAGGGAUGCGAAUCGCGACUGGUGUCGGUCAAUGCGAGUGGAGAUAGUAUUUUCACAAGCGACUGGUGCUUUAGUGACCGCUUUGCUCUGUGUCUUCGGACAAACUCUGACCAUCGACCUCAGAUGAGGUAGGAUUACCCGCUGAACUUAA